Haplochromis burtoni (Burton's mouthbrooder) is the source of this 757-nucleotide long non-coding RNA. RefSeq lists it as uncharacterized. The transcript is spliced from 3 exons. NCBI's taxonomy places the organism in Eukaryota, Metazoa, Chordata, Actinopteri, Cichliformes, Cichlidae. The record is from RefSeq and is a predicted model, not a curated record.
CAUAUUUUAAAAUGCAAUUGCAUUUUUGAGCUUGGACUUAUUUCAUGUUAUUGUUAUAUCCAACAGGCAAAAAGAAACUGCUAAAUCAGGUUUGAAAACUAACACGGAUUUGGUGAUGAUCCUCAGCCCUGCUUUCAUGAAAUAUGUCCAUUAUGUUUGGCUAAAACAGCAUGGGAGGUAUCCAUCCACUGGCUUUCUGACUUUGGUUCUCAGCUUGUACUUGUGUGAUGAGAUUAAUGUGUUUGGAUUUGGAGCAGACAAGAAUGGAAACUGGAAUCAUUACUAUGAGCAAAUCAAAAACACACGUCUGAAAACUGGACAACAUCCUGGAAGGGUGGAAUAUCAAUAUAUUGAGAAACUUCAUAAGCAACGGAAAAUUCAUUUUUUCAGAGGAUGGUAAUCUGGCUUUUGGUGUCUCUCAGGGGCAUUAAGAUAAGCAGCCCCCAGAACUGUAGAAUUAAAAUACUUAAGAAUAGUAGAUCUAAAAAGAAAAAAAAUGCGUAGUUUUGUUAAUUAGUUGCGUGUUGGGUAUCAGAGAUUACUUAUUUUUGGAAGUGUUUACAUACAAUAAAGUCCUUUCAGUAUACCACCAUACAAAAUAUGUUGUCCAUUUUGUUCAUAAAACAGUUUUCCUCCCCUUUGGCAACUUAUUUUUCAGCAUAUUUUGUCCAGUAUAUCCACUAUCUGUCCUCUGCACAUGUUGAAACCAUUUUAGUCUUGUCUCUCUAGCUACCCUAUCUGAGCUGUUCCACUGAUA